GGAGAUGGUUUGGAUUGGGUUAGCUUAGACGUGCAGCCACCCUCUCGCACUUCUUCAAGAGAUGUAAUUGCUUGCUUCCAUACUUAUACCAACGCCAGGACCAGCUGUGAGUAUAUACACAACUUUGCCCCUUUACGAAGUUUUUUUUGGAUGGAAGCUGCGGUGAAAAUGGAGGGAAUGAUAGAUAGUUAAUUAGGUUAGGCGAGUGAGGUUUAAGCUAAUAAUGCUUCUUUUGGAGUGUUCUCUCGGUUGACAAUCUUGAAGAAGCUCAUAGAAUAUUUGCUUGAACUGAUCUAGUGGCUUCUCCUAAUGUGCUCUUUCUAGUGCUGAAAGUGUUGCAUAUUCUGCUAAUGCCAUGUCUAGUAGGCUAUUAAGUCUUAUUUAGGGAUUUACAGUCUUCUUUGAUGUUCUGUCUGCCUUCCGUCUCUCUCUCUCUCCCUUUAUCAAAUUCGCUCACUUUUUUUCUCCACCAAGCUAUCCGUGAGUCAUUUUGUUGACUCAAGAGGGUUCAUAGACCUUGAAUAUCAUGCAAGGCUUUCAAUGUCCUACCCUAUAUGAUGAAGACGUUGAGGUUUUUGAAUAAUUGGAUCAAGUCUCUCAUUGGUUGAGCAAGAUCUCUCCCACGGUGGAUCAUUGUCGGACUCCACUAUUAUUCCACCAUGUUUGAUUCACUUGUGGGGGCAUAAUCUGCCGGCCGAUGACUUUCUGUAUGGGUAAACCAACAAUACACUGGAAAUUGUUGCAGCCUUGCAGGCCCUGCAAGAUGAUAAUAUUGUAGUUAAAAUAUUCUUUUUGUGGAAACCAUUUAUGUUUGUUAUGGAAGAACAUCAAAAUUCUAUUCACUAUACUAAAAAAAUCCCUUAAAUUUACUUCUUUAUACCAGAAUUUUUUUUUAAACAAAAAAUCCAAUUCAUAAUUAACAAUAUUGUCUAAAGGUUGAUUAUAGUAAGUAAAAUCUAAUCAAAUAAUUCACUGUAAAAUUCCAAUAAACUUGAAAGCUUCAGCUGUUCUUUUUUAUUCCAGGAAUUAGCUAAAUACUGGAUAUAAAAAUAUUGGAACAGCACAUGUCAUCUGCUUCUCAAUUAUUGAUCCAGGCAGCUUAGGAUUUGUCUCUUGGUCUGACUGUGAAACGUGUCGGAUUAAAUAGACGAAAGGGAGGCC
RNAcentral lists this long non-coding RNA (1161 nucleotides) under Gossypium barbadense (sea-island cotton). RNAcentral describes it as "long non-coding RNA (GBAR_LNC010059)". Lineage: Eukaryota; Viridiplantae; Streptophyta; Magnoliopsida; Malvales; Malvaceae. The record is from RNAcentral.